This 521-nucleotide ribosomal RNA is filed under the name uncultured Pleosporales. Its description in RNAcentral is "eukaryotic LSU rRNA". The stretch from base 156 to 309 matches the Rfam family "5.8S ribosomal RNA". The record is from RNAcentral. Lineage: Eukaryota; Fungi; Ascomycota; Dothideomycetes; Pleosporales.
GGAGGAUCAUUAUCGUAGGGCUUCGGCCCUGUCGAGAUAGAACCCUUGCCUUUUUGAGUACCUUUCGUUUCCUCGGCAGGCUCGCCUGCCAAUGGGGACCACAAAAAAACACUUUGCAGUACCUGUAAUAGUCUGAACAAACAAACAAAAAUCAAAACUUUCAACAACGGAUCUCUUGGUUCUGGCAUCGAUGAAGAACGCAGCGAAAUGCGAUAAGUAGUGUGAAUUGCAGAAUUCAGUGAAUCAUCGAAUCUUUGAACGCACAUUGCGCCCUUUGGUAUUCCUUAGGGCAUGCCUGUUCGAGCGUCAUUUAAACCUUCAAGCUCAGCUUGGUGUUGGGUGACUGUCCGCUUCACCGCGGACUCGCCUCAAAAUGAUUGGCGGCCGGUACAUUGGCUUCGAGCGCAGCAGAAACGCGAACUCGGGCCCGUCGUAUUGGCUCCCAGAAGCUAUCUUCACAAUUUUGACCUCGGAUCAGGUAGGGAUACCCGCUGAACUUAAGCAUAUCAAUAAGCGGAGGA